This 459-nucleotide ribosomal RNA is filed under the name Triticum aestivum (bread wheat). Its description in RNAcentral is "partial small subunit ribosomal RNA". The record is from RNAcentral. Lineage: Eukaryota; Viridiplantae; Streptophyta; Magnoliopsida; Poales; Poaceae.
AUGCAGGUGCAUGCUGCUCCGAGAGCACGGGCAUGGCUGCCACCCGAGGGUGAAGCGGUGAAGUUUAACUGUGAUGGUGCACUAUCGACCAUGGGAGAGAAGGGAACAUCGGCUGUGAUUUGCCGAGACAAGACAGGGAAGUUUCUUGGAGCAUCAGCACUAGUCUUUGAAGGCUUGCUCGACCCGGCGAGUUUGGAGGCGCACGCGUGCAGUGAAGCACUCGCCCUUGCUCGCGAUCUGAAUGUGCAGGACCUGGUGAUUGCGUCUGAUUGUUUAGAAGAUAUACACAUUAGCAUGAACCUUUUCUCUUCAGUUAAUUUUCGUUUUGAGCGUAGAGAAAACAAUUUCGAGGCCCACUCGGUUGCAAAAGGAGCUGCGUCUCUGCCGGUGGGCCGCCACGUGUGGCUAGGGAUCCUUUCAGAUAUUGCUUGUAUUCCGGAUGUGAUGAACUCUGAAUAA